CAGCAGCCGCGGUAAUACGAAGGGUGCAAGCGUUAAUCGGAAUUACUGGGCGUAAGGCGUGCGUAGGCGGUGAGUUAAGUCUGCUGUGAAAUCCCCGGGCUCAACCUGGGAAUGGCAGUGGAUACUGGCUCGCUAGAGUGUGUCAGAGGAUGGUGGAAUUCCCGGUGUAGCGGUGAAAUGCGUAGAGAUCGGGAGGAACAUCAGUGGCGAAGGCGGCCAUCUGGGACAACACUGACGCUGAGGCACGAAAGCGUGGGGAGCAAACAGGAUUAGAUACCCCAGUAGUCCCUGUCUCUUAUAC
This 301-nucleotide ribosomal RNA is filed under the name uncultured bacterium. RNAcentral's name for it is "partial 16S ribosomal RNA". It matches the Rfam family "Bacterial small subunit ribosomal RNA", at positions 509 to 807 of the family's 1533-position model. The record is from RNAcentral.